AGAGUUUGAUCAUGGCUCAGAAUCAACGCUGGCGGCGUGCCUCAGACAUGCAAGUCGAACGCGAAAGUUUCCUUCGGGAGACAAGUAGAGUGGCGCACGGGUGAGUAACACGUAGGUAAUCUACCUUCGGAUGGGGAAUAACAAUCGGAAACGGUUGCUAAUACCGCAUAAUGCAGCGGCACCUAAUGGUGACAGUUGUUAAAGCGGGGGAUCGUAAGACCUCGCGUCUGAAGAGGAGCCUGCGGCGGAUUAGCUAGUUGGCAAGGUAACGGCUUACCAAGGCAACGAUCCGUAACCGGCCUGAGAGGGCGGUCGGUCACACUGACACUGACAUACGGGUCAGACUCCUACGGGAGGCAGCAGUCGGGAAUUUUGGGCAAUGGGCGAAAGCCUGACCCAGCAACGCCGCGUGAAGGAUGAAAUCCCUCGGGAUGUAAACUUCGCAAGAACGGGAAGAAUAAGUUUCAGUUAAUAUCUGAAACGAUGACGGUACCGUUUGUAAGCUCCGGCUAACUCCGUGCCAGCAGCCGCGGUAAUACGGGGGGAGCAAGCGUUGUUCGGAUUUACUGGGCGUAAAGGGCGCGUAGGCGGUCAGCACAAGUCAGUUGUGAAAUCUCCGGGCUUAAC
Molecule: ribosomal RNA, 627 nt
Filed under: uncultured bacterium
Lineage: Bacteria
Description: bacterial SSU rRNA
Rfam family: Bacterial small subunit ribosomal RNA
Source: RNAcentral